CCUACGGGAUGCAGCAGUGAGGAAUAUUAGUCAAUGGGCGCGAGCCUGAACCAGCCAAGUCGCGUGAAGGAUGACUGCCCUACGGGUUGUAACCUUCUUUUAUACAGGGAUAUAGUGAGGCCCGUGUGCCUUUUUGUAUGUCCUUUAUGAAUAAGGACCGGCUAACUCCGUGCCAGCAGCCGCGGUAAUACGGAGAAUCCGACCGUUAUCCGGAUUUAUUGGGUUUAAAGGGAUCGUAGAUGGGGGGUUAGGUCAGUUGGGAAAGUUGGCGGCUCACACGGAAAAGUGCAAUUGAUACUGGGAGGCUGGAGUACAGUUGAGGUAGGCGGAAGUCGUGGUGUAGCGGUGAAAUGCAUAGAUAUCACGAAGAACUCCGAUUGCGAAGGCAGCUUACGAAACUGCCACUGACACUGAUGCUCGAAAGUGUGGGUAUCAAACAGGAUUAGAUACCCGAGUAGUC
This 460-nucleotide ribosomal RNA is filed under the name uncultured bacterium. RNAcentral describes it as "partial 16S ribosomal RNA". It matches the Rfam family "Bacterial small subunit ribosomal RNA", at positions 338 to 795 of the family's 1533-position model. The record is from RNAcentral.